CAGCCGUAAACAAUGUGCGUUAGGUGUGUCGGUAACCACGCGUUACUGAUGCGCCGAAGGAGAAAUCGUGAAACGCACCACCUGGGAAGUACGGUCGCAAGGCUGAAACUUAAAGGAAUUGGCGGGGGAGCACCACAACAGGGUGGAGCCUGCGGUUUAAUUGGAUUCAACGCCGGACAUCUCACCGGAUAAGACAGCUAGAAUGAUUGUCAAUCUGAAGGUUUUACAUGACUAGCUGAGAGGAGGUGGCAUGGCGUCAGUGACU
This 265-nucleotide ribosomal RNA is filed under the name uncultured archaeon. Its description in RNAcentral is "partial 16S ribosomal RNA". It matches the Rfam family "Archaeal small subunit ribosomal RNA", at positions 748 to 1008 of the family's 1478-position model. The record is from RNAcentral.